RNAcentral lists this ribosomal RNA (472 nucleotides) under uncultured bacterium. Its description in RNAcentral is "partial 16S ribosomal RNA". It matches the Rfam family "Bacterial small subunit ribosomal RNA", at positions 28 to 505 of the family's 1533-position model. The record is from RNAcentral.
GACGAACGCUGGCGGCGUGCUUAACACAUGCAAGUCGAACGGUAAGGCCCUUCGGGGUCCACGAGUGGCGAACGGGUGAGUAACACGUGGGUAAUCUGCCCUGCACAUCGGGAUAAGCCUGGGAAACUGGGUCUAAUACCGAAUAGGACCACAGGACACAUGUCCUGUGGUGGAAAGCUUUUGCGGUGUGGGAUGGGCCCGCGGCCUAUCAGCUUGUUGGUGGGGUGAUGGCCUACCAAGGCGACGACGGGUAGCCGGCCUGAGAGGGUGUCCGGCCACACUGGGACUGAGAUACGGCCCAGACUCCUACGGGAGGCAGCAGUGGGGAAUAUUGCACAAUGGGCGAAAGCCUGAUGCAGCGACGCCGCGUGGGGGAUGACGGCCUUCGGGUUGUAAACCUCUUUCACCAUCGACGAAGGUCCGGGUUUUCUCGGGCUGACGGUAGGUGGAGAAGAAGCACCGGCCAACUACG